This 495-nucleotide ribosomal RNA is filed under the name uncultured bacterium. RNAcentral describes it as "partial 16S ribosomal RNA". It matches the Rfam family "Bacterial small subunit ribosomal RNA", at positions 28 to 507 of the family's 1533-position model. The record is from RNAcentral.
GACGAACGCUGGCGGCGUGCCUAAUACAUGCAAGUAGAACGCUGAAGGAGGAGCUUGCUUCUCUGGAUGAGUUGCGAACGGGUGAGUAACGCGUAGGUAACCUGCCUGGUAGCGGGGGAUAACUAUUGGAAACGAUAGCUAAUACCGCAUAAGAGUAGAUGUUGCAUGACAUUUGCUUAAAAGGUGCAAUUGCAUCACUACCAGAUGGACCUGCGUUGUAUUAGCUAGUUGGUGGGGUAACGGCUCACCAAGGCGACGAUACAGAGCCGACCUGAGAGGGGGAGCGGCCACACUGGGACGGAGACACGGCCCAGACUCCUACGGGAGGCAGCAGUAGGGAAUCUUCGGCAAUGGACGGAAGUCUGACCGAGAAACGCCGCGUGAGUGAAGAAGGUUGUCGGAUCGUAAAGCUCUGUUGUAAGAGAAGAACGAGUGUGAGAGUGGAAAGUUCACACUGUGACGGUAUCUUACCAGAAAGGGACGGCUAACUACGUG